UACAGAGGUGGCAAGCGUUGUUCGGAAUUACUGGGCGUAAAGGGCGCGUAGGCGGCCUUCUUAGUCGGACGUGAAAUCCCCAGGCUUAACUUGGGAACUGCGUCCGAUACUGGAUGGCUUGAGUGCGGGAGAGGGAUGUGGAAUUCCAGGUGUAGCGGUGAAAUGCGUAGAUAUCUGGAGGAACACCGGUGGCGAAGGCGGCAUCCUGGACCGACACUGACGCUGAGGCGCGAAAGCGUGGGGAGCAAACAGG
Molecule: ribosomal RNA, 253 nt
Filed under: uncultured bacterium
Lineage: Bacteria
Description: partial 16S ribosomal RNA
Rfam family: Bacterial small subunit ribosomal RNA
Source: RNAcentral